This is a long non-coding RNA of Papio anubis (olive baboon), 1826 nucleotides long. The record is from Ensembl. NCBI's taxonomy places the organism in Eukaryota, Metazoa, Chordata, Mammalia, Primates, Cercopithecidae.
AUCCCCAAUUUUCUUAGUCAAUUUAUGCUCUUACAACAAAAUAACACAGCCUAUGCAAUUUAUGAAAACCAGACAUUUAUUCCUCACAGUUUUGGAGACUAGGAGGUCCAAGAUCAAGGUGCUGGCAGGUCCGAUGUCUGGUAAGGGCUGUUCUCUCCUUUCAGGAUGGUGUCUUGGUGCUGCAUCCUCCAAAGUCAAGGAACACUGUGUCCUCACAUGGUGGAAGGCGGGAGGGCAAGAGGAAUGAAGCCGUUUCAUGAGGGCUCCUAAACCCACUCCUGAGCUUUGAAAAUGGACUUAACUACCUCAAACCAAUGGGACAUAGUCCCCUGUUACGGUUCCCAGGCUCUUUGUCCUGGGCAGAGCUUGUUGCACCUUCCAGUUCCAGUAAUCAAGGAAGCGGAGUCCCUGCAAUUCUUCAAGGAACCUUGAGAACUCAGGAGGUCCUGGGGUGGCUGCAUCAAUCCUGCAGACCAAUGCCAAUCAGCAGAGGGGCCAUUCCCAGGGCCACAUGGCUGGCUGAGUUGGGCCUUGGCCAGGCACAUGCAUACGCUUACACACACAGAGAGGGUGAAGAACGGCUACUUAGCAAGUUCGAGACAGGCAAAAAGUAAAAUUUUAUAUGUAUAAGAUCAAACUAUGCAUCAUCUUAAAAAGAUUAAAAUGUAUUAUGUUAACAAUUUGUACCUAAAAAAUUAAGCCUUAUGCAAGGUGUCAGCUAUUGAAAUGAAAGCAUCAGGUGACCUCAGCUUUUUAUGUUGUGGACUUAGCCACACGCUGUGCCCAGCUCUGUUCCAGUUCUUUCCUCUUGCCUUUGGCUCCUACCACUCCGUCGUAGGCUUGACUUCUAGAAGAAACACAGCUAACCUGCCAGGGCUUUAGACCUGAUCUGCCUUUCUUAGGGAGAGAGAGAUGGAAAGAAAGAGAUGGCUUCUUCUUUGCAGAAACACAUCAGCUGCCUUCUUCUCAAUUUCCCUGGACAAUAUUUAUGUUCAUUCUCCCACCAGUGAGCAGGUAGGUGCCUGAAUGGGUAGCCCAUUCUCACGGGUAGCCCAUUCUUACUAAAAUAAAAUGUUGAACUCCUUACGUAAAACAUUUUGAAUAAAAACAGUUGAUCAAAAGGAAUAAAAAACAUUUUUGAGUGAAAACAAUUGCUCAAAAAGAACAAAAUGUGCAGCUUUUCAAAUUCUACAGACCAGGUGAAUUUAGUAGAGAAUGAACAAAGUAGUUUACAAUAUAAAGAUUUCUGAAUUCAGUGGUGUGUGUGUUCACUGCCCCGAAGAAAUGAAAACAGAAAACAUUGAGAACCAGUUAACGGGACAAUCAGCAGAGAGUCUCUGUUUCCUUUUCACCUGCUACUUGGUCUUCAUAAGACUGUCUCAGUUCCACCAUCCUGGUCUGAAAGCCACUUUGUUGCACAUGGCAGUGCGUUGACAUCAGCAAGAGCCAGUCUUUGCAGAUCUUUGCUCUGCAAAUUACUGCCAAGUGUGACUGGGUAUAGCCCUUAAGCACUGCACCCCAAUUCCCCAGUCUGCAAUAUGGAAAUAAUAAAAUCUAACUCUGAGACAUAAUUCAAAUUAUGAAAAGGUACAUUACAGUAGGUUAUAAACAAAGGUUCGUUCUCUUUCCUGCCUUUUAUCAUCUAAUCUAGUUUCUUUGGAGGAGAGAGGGAGCUUGUGUGUUUCAAAUAUGUAACUUAUAAAUAAUAUGCUACUGAAUUAAAGACUGGGUCUAAAAUUUUGUUUCUAAAUUGAUGAUUUUGAUCCACAUAUUUUGUAUGAUUUCUUUCAGAGUUGGAUUUAUUGUCAUCAUCUAGUUUUGUGCUU